Colius striatus (speckled mousebird) is the source of this 1286-nucleotide RNA transcript. RefSeq lists it as uncharacterized. The transcript is spliced from 9 exons. Lineage: Eukaryota; Metazoa; Chordata; Aves; Coliiformes; Coliidae. The record is from RefSeq and is a predicted model, not a curated record.
GGAGCGCGGGGGGCCGCAGCCGUGAAGGAUGGCAGCGGCGGAGAGGGGCAAGUGCCCCGCGCUGCCGCUCGCCAACGGCCGGUGCAUCCCGGUGCUGGGGCUCGGUACUUCCCAUCGAGGUGGCUAUUCCCAUGAGGCUGUGGUCUGUGCGUUACAGAGAUGUGGCAUUCGUCAUAUUGACACAGCAAAAAGAUAUGGCUGUGAAUCACUCCUCCAAAAAGCCAUCAAGGAGAGUGGUGUGAAGCGAGAGGACCUCUGGGUAACUACCAAACUGUGGUAUAAUGAUUACGGCUAUGAAAACACAAAGAAGGCAUGUUUGGAGUCCUGCGAACGACUUGGUGUUGAGUAUCUUGAUCUUUAUUUGAUACACUGGCCUGAUGCACAUGUUCCAGGUAAAAGUAAUCGAGAGGUGCGAGCAGAAACCUGGAGAGCAAUGGAGGAGCUCUAUGAGAAAGGUUUGUGUAGAUCAAUUGGUGUGAGCAACUUUCUUAUCAGUCAUCUUGAGCAACUAAAGGAGGACUGUAUGAUUAUUCCACAUGUUAAUCAGGUUGAAUACCACCCUUUCCAAAGACCUCAGGAGCUGGUGGAUUAUUGUAGGAGCAGAGACAUUGUUUUUGAAGGCUACUGUCCUUUGGCUAAAGGUGAAGCACUCUCUCAUCCUGCUGUCAUUCAGCUGGCAAAGAAAUAUGGCAGAACUCCAGCACAGAUUUGCAUACGCUGGAGUAUACAGAAUGGGAUUGUCACUAUUCCAAAGUCCACAAGAGCAGAAAGGAUACAGGAAAACUGCAAGGUGUUUGAUUUCACGCUGGCAGAAGAGGAUGUUGAAAUUCUGAAUGGAAUGCAUGAUGGGAGACACGUUUCCUGGGACCCAAGCCUUAUUGUGUGAUGAAGGGCUGCAGUUCCUCCUCCUGUGCAGAUUUCUGUAAGACAGGCUUAUCUCUACCAAGAAAACUUUUUCACCUUUCUACAAUGGCCACUUUUAAGAUCCAGCAGUGCAUCCAUUUUAUCAGUGCAACCCAUCCUCUUGCCAGGAGGAACAAGGAAUACACCUGAAAACUGAAGGUUUUCUGUUGUAAUCUGACAGAAGAAGAUGUGGAGCUUUUGAACAAUAUAUCAACAGGAAAUUAAUUGAUCUAACCUGUGCACUGUGGAAGGGACAGUUGAAAGCCAGAGCGUCCCUGUGCCGCCAAAGUGAUGAAACAUUGAUUCGUUUUAAACUGGACAAUGAAUCUAGAGUUCCUCUUGGAUACUCAGAGUGCCUAAUAAAUACCAGCAGUCAAAGGUCA